This 106-nucleotide small nuclear RNA is filed under the name Delphinapterus leucas (beluga whale). Lineage: Eukaryota; Metazoa; Chordata; Mammalia; Artiodactyla; Monodontidae. The record is from RNAcentral.
GUGCCCGCUUCGGCAGCACAUAUACUAAAACUGGAACUAUACAGAGAAGAUAGCAUGGCCCCUGCACAAGGAUGACGCGCAAAUUCGUGAAGCGUUCCAUAUUUCU